RNAcentral lists this long non-coding RNA (9758 nucleotides) under Pelobates cultripes (western spadefoot toad). The record is from RNAcentral. Lineage: Eukaryota; Metazoa; Chordata; Amphibia; Anura; Pelobatidae.
ACAUUGGUGGCAGCGGUGGGAUGGUCCUUUCAUCCACAGCGCAGAUGCUGGGUGGAGUCUCAAUACGCCAAAUUGAAGAGGCCUACCCUAAAGGAUUUACUAGAGAACCGGGGAAGGAGUGCCAGUAACAGACCACGGAGGGAGCUGAUCGCAGACCUACUAGAGCUGGACGAGAUGGAUCGGUCCAUGGACGUAACAGAGACACAGAGGCAAGACAGCGAGGAGGACGAGGUCGCCCGCAUCGUACAGAGGAGACUGGCCUUCUAUCCAGAGACAUCAGUGGAGCUGAUUGAGCGGCUGUUCCUUGAUGCCAAAGCAGAUAUCCGGGAGAGGAGGGGGCACGAAAUCGAACUGGUAAGAGCCCAGCAGCCCAUUACACAUACAGUUCCUGCUUCCCCUCCGCCUACUACCCCAAGGAAGGUGCCAUUUACUGCAUUCAAGGCGUUUGUAGAGAAUGAAGAGGAGAUCGAUGGAUAUUUAGCCGAUUUCGAGAGACAGUGCUCUUUACACCAGGUACCCCCUGACCAAUGGGUUACCAUUUUAGCUGGGAAGCUGUCAGGCAAGGCUAACGAGGCCUUUCGGACCCUCACCGCAGAGGAUAUUUUACAGUACCAGCAGGUCAAAAAGGCCCUGUUAGCCCGUUAUGCUGUGAGGCAUACCGCCGACGGUUCCAUGAGUCUAAAAAGAAAGCUGUGGACUCUCACAUGGAAUGGGCCAACCGUCUACAGCGACUAGCCUCCCACUGGGUCAAAGGAUGUAAUGCCAGUACAGGGGAGGAAGUCUUACAACUAUUUCUAAUGGAACACUUCUUCCAGGAUUUAGCAGCUGAUCUACAGGACUGGGUAAGGGAUCGACGACCCAGCAACCUGAAGGAGGCGGCUUGGCUAGCAGACGAGUAUGCCGAAACAAGGAGAGUUAGUCAAAGCUCUCACCGCACAACCAGCAGGCCAGAACCAUGUACCCCAACCAGUAAUUUUCAUCCGGAGUUCCGUGCUCCCGUAUCGCCCACAGGGGUCCCCCAGCUACCCAAGAGAUGUAUCUCGGAUGGCGUUCCAUCGCUGCAACAACCUGGGACACAUUGCCCGCCACUGCCUCCUGGGGUCCGCAGCCAACAACUGGCGACGACCCUCACCACCCACAGAGACCGCAUCACCCCGCCCUCCUAUUUCGUCCCCACGUACCUCGGCCGCCCAUUGCCUGGAGGUGGGCCCCAAGGAAUGCCUGGGUAUCUUGUAUGAGGCGGACCCGAUACAAGCCGCCUCACCAGAUAAUCGACAACACCAUCGACAAGAAGUGCGGGUGAACGGGCAGGUGGCGCAAGGAUUGAGAGACACUGGGGCCACCAUUACCUUAAUGCAGAGACAUCUGAUAAAACCUGUACAUUUGUCCAACCGAAUUGUGGCUGUACGAGUUGCUGGAGGAGCUGUUUUCCGUUUAGCCACUGCUAGGGUACACCUGGAUUGGGGAGUCGGGUCUGGGAAGACCACUGUGGGCAUCAUGGACAAUUUACCCGCAGAAGUCGUACUGGGCAAUGACAUUGGCCCUCUUGCAUCAGCUACGACUGCUGCCGCUUGCCCAGUGACCACACGUUCCCAGGCUUAUGCUGCCGACGACCCUGCACCAGGACGGGAGACCCAGGUAAGCCACGAACCAGCCCCUAGGCCAGACCCCAUAGACAGACACUUAGCUUGGGAUACCCCCGAGGCAUUUGGGAGGGAGACACGGGCAGAUCCUACCCUCCAAAAAUACAGGGAGCUUGCCGAUAGUGGGGGGAGUGAGAAGGAACGCUUUAUCUGGGAUAAUGACCGACUGUAUAGAUUGACAGAAGGGAAAAAGACAGGCGGUAUCCCAUCACAGAAGCGCCAACUGGUGGUACCCAGAAAAUACCGGUUGGAACUUCUGCGAAUUGGACAUGAUAUUCCCUUGGCAGGACAUUUAGGAGGUAACCGCACUACCUACAGGAUUACCCAGACCUUCUUUUGGCCGGGAAUCUCGAAGGAUGUGUGACGUUACUGCAGUACUUGUGACGUGUGUCAACGAGUAGGGAAGCGAGGGGACCACCCGAAAGCAAGACUGUUACCCAUGCCAGUAAUCGAGGAACCAUUUAGCAGGGUGGCAGUCGAUCUGGUGGGUACCUUACCGAAUCCCAGUCCCUCCGGUAAGUGCCUUGGUCGGGAUAUUCACCCGUGUGGGGUUUCCACAAGAGAUUUUGUCUGACCGAGGGACGCAAUUUACCGCAGAUCUGACCCAACAGUUAUGGAAGGUCUGUGGUAUCAAGACCCUAUUCAGCUCACCAUACCACCCCCAGACUAACGGACUCUGUGGACGCUUUAAUGGUACCCUGAAACAAUUACUGCGGACCUUUACAGCGGAAUACAGAGACUGGGAGCGAUUCCUGCCGCACCUCUUGUUUGCCUACCGAGAGGUGCCACAGGAAUCCACUGGGUUCUCUCCGUUCAAGCUGCUCUAUGGACGACGAGUGCGAGGCCCCCUCGACCUCAUCCGAGAGCACUGGGAAGGAGAGAUGGAACAUGAGGGUGUCCCGAUUGUACCAUACGUUCUGGAGAUGAGAGACCGCAUGGAGCAGUUAGCUCGGAUGGCUAGAGACCAUCUCCAGGCGGCUCAGGGUCGACAGAAGAGGUGGUAUGAUAGGGGUGCCCGCCAGAGAACCUUCCAGGUGGGACAGAAAGUGCUAGUUCUCAGACCAGUAAAAGGGAACAAGCUCCAGACCUCAUGGUAGGGCCCUUACAAGGUGGUAGCCCAAGUAUGUGAUACCACUUACGUAAUAGCCAGUAGCAAGGAUGACCGGGUUCGGAAAUCCUUCCAUGUGAAUCUGCUCAAGGAAUAUCAGGAAAGGGCCGAGGAUAUUGCAGCCAUCUGCAGUCCAAGUACAGAGGACUCAGACGGGCUACCUAUCCCUGACUUGUUAGCGGGUUCCGAACCAAAGAAUAUCCUCGAUGCUAUCCAUGUAGGGGAGCGGUUGAACCCGGCAGAAAAGGGACAGUUCAGACAGCUGUUGACAGAGAAGAGACUGACAUUCUCCCAAGAGCCAGGAUACACGACGUUAGCUACCCAUUAUGUGGAAACCCCAGGGCAGACGCCACUUAGGCAGACCCCUUACCGCAUCCCGGAGGCAGUUAAAGAAGAGAUGAGGAAAGAGAUCCAAGAGAUGCUCAAGUUAGGAGUCAUAGAACCCUCAGACAGCCCGUGGGCCUCCCCUGUAGUAUUGGUACCCAAAAAGGAUGGGACCACCAGGUUCUGCCUCGACUAUAGACGUCUUAAUGAUAGGACAGUGACCGAUGCGUAUCCCAUGCCCCGAGUAGACGAACUCCUAGAUCGCAUUGCUAGGGGGAGAUACCUGACUACCAUUGAUCUGUGCAAGGGGUACUGGCAGAUCCCCCUAGCCAAGGAGGCUGUCCCCAGGUCGGCCUUCGUCACCCCGUUUGGCUUGUACCAAUUCAAAGUCAUGCCAUUCGGGAUGAAGAACGCCCCCGCUACCUUUCAGCGCUUGGUCGACAGGCUCCUUGAUGGCUUCCAGGAUUUCGCAUGUGCGUACCUGGAUGACAUUGCGAUCUACAGCGAGACCUGGGGAGAACACCUCCGACAGGUGGGCGCCGUACUGGAUCAGAUUAGGGCCGCAGACCUCACUCUGAAGCCAGAAAAAUUUAAUUUUGGCAUGGGCGAAGUACAGUACCUGGGACACCGGGUGGGAUGUGGGAAACAACGGCCGGAACCAGCCAAAGUUGAGGCCGUAGCUAAUUGGCCCACACCAAGACCCAGGUAGUCGCUUUUCUAGGGACGGCAGGGUACUACAGGAAAUUUGUCCCCGACUAUAGUAGUGUCGUAUAUAAUUUACUGCAAACCAAUUAGUUUGAAUGACUAUCUGUUCCUGUCCAAAUUAAAGAUAAUAAAGUUGCGUGCACGCAGAAGUAAAUUCACACUGAGACACAAAGUUCAGGUUAAUGAAAGAACUCCGGAGAAGUUUAAUGGCUUCUGACAGAAAAUGGGUGCGCAGACCCUUUUAAAGGCAUUAUUACAUCACUGAAGAAUUCAAGAUAACAGCAAAUAGACACUAUUGAUUGGUCCAGGUGUUAAGUGGUUAGUUAGGUACCCUCCUAUCAAGAGGUGAUGUCAUCCUUGACACGGGAGUGGACACAAGAUGUAGGCACCAUCUUGUUAGCACGAGGUGUUCACUCGAUGGGAGGGGCCUUUUGGCAGCUAUCCAUUUAGAGCGUAACUGGCACUUGUUAGUUUCUCAAGGCUAGGUUUCAAGGCUUUUAGUAAAUACACAUUUUAUCAAAGCUAUUUCUUGCUGACAUGCAAAUUCUAUGUUCUAUAGACAAAGCUUUCUUGUAAAACUAUGGGGGCCUCUUAGAGGUAUAGCAAGAGGAUUUAAAGGGGCCUUACAGAUUUAUAGAGGCCUAAUAAUUCUACAACAGUAGCAUCGCCAAACAUUUAACAGACUUGACCAAAAAGACUCUACCUAGGAUAGUCCUGUGGUCUCCCGCCUCCGAAACAGCAUUUCAGACAUUAAAGAACGCAUUAAUCAACGCUCCUGUGCUAUCUGCUCCAGUCCCUAACAAAAGGUUUGUCGUCCACACAGAUGCCUCCAUGUACGGACUGGUGGCAGUUUUAAGCCAGAUGGGAGAAGAUGGAGGAGAACACCCUGUCGCGUACCUAAGCAGAAAAUUGCUACCCAGGGAAGUGAGCUACGCGGCAGUGGAAAAAGAAUGUUUAGCCCUGGUCUGGGCCCUAAAGAAAUUGACUCCAUAUUUGUAUAGUCAGGAGUUCACCCUCAUCACUGACCAUAACCCUCUCGUGUGGUUGAACCGCGUGGCCGGAGAUAAUGGCCGUUUAUUAAGAUGGACCUGGCGUUACAACCUUAUAAUUUCUCUAUACAAUAUCGGCCAGGUAAACUCAACGGGAACGCGGAUGGCCUGUCCAUACAAACCGAACUGAUGCCCUAACCGAAAUCCGGACAGCCCCACGGUGGUCCGAAAAGGAUCAAUCCGGGUCUGCCGGGGUGUCCCACAAAAGGGGAGCCAUGUAACAACAAGCACAGUAUGACUGCAAAAGACAAAUGGAUUAUACGGCCGUUCGGUAUGUUGUUUGUCAGCAUUCACCAUGCGAAUGCUUACCUGCCUUAACAGGCCACCCUGACUGCUAAUUAUGGCCAAUUUACCUCCCUGGUUGAUGGGCACUUUAUUCGAAUCAACCGCACGAACGCUAUGGGAACUGUAAGCUCAGCCGCCAUUUCGAGACUUACACGUGUUCGCGGCCAUUUUAACUCCCGAACAGUGGUGUUUGCCGAUGAAUGUCUGGAACUAAAAUCGGACACUCAAACAGGCGAACACCGCUGAGACCUCCAUACCUUCGGGAAAACUGCCCAGCGUUCGGUAGAAAGAAUUAGCAGCAGAUGGGGAUUUCAACGAACCCAGGAUGGUAUACGGAUGGCAUACGGAUGGCCGGCCGUUCGGGAGUAUUUACCCACGUUCUUAGACCGACUGCAGGGCCAGCAUUCAUGGAACUGUUUUCGGCUACUGUGCCCGUGCGGUCGGUCAAAACUUCUAAGUCCUAUAUGUCCCGAACGGCUGAACCGAUUGAGCUGAUUUUUACAUAUGUUGGUACCUGAAAUACCUGAAAGUAUUUGGGUUACAUCCAUACUUUGGGGAAAAACUGUUCCUUUUUAAUUAUUUUAUGUAGUUAUCUGAGGGGAGGGAAUUUACUGAAUGUAUAUUGUAUGGAUUGGUUGUACUGCUAAUUAUGUGGGUGUCUCCCUUGCAUGGGUAGAAUCACAUAAAAGCAGAGUGUCUGUCAAUAAACCCUCAGUUCUUCUUGACCCUUCAAAACGUAGCCUCGUCUCGUUCUUGAAAGGGGAAUCUCUGCAGCUUAAUCACUUAGCUCUUUUCAGAGCGGCACCUGGCUUCCACUCCUGAUCCAGCAGAAGGGAAUAGGCGACUCCAUCACUACACGGCGACUGCCGGGAAGAAAAGGACGUCCCUAACGGCUGGUACCCUCUCUACACCAGGGUAGCCGUUACAGCCUGUAUUUCGGUUUUCAGUGCUUGGGUGCCCUUCGCAAUCUCAUUGGGCAAAUAGGCCUUGACGGUCUGCAUUUGGAGCAGAAUACGUGCAGUAUCCUCCGAACAGGCCAUCGAAAUGUCUGAGGCCACCUCGUCUGGGUCUUCCGCCUGGGGGCUUGUCCUGCUGCCAUCUUGAGUACGCUUGGAGCCCCGUCCCAGCUGUGCAAAAAGAGAUGAUACCUACACCUACCGACGGGUUUGUUUCUUCCUACUAGCCUUUAUGCUUCUGGGAAUCUUACCUGAUAAUAAGGGAGAAGAUUUCAGUGAUUCUAGCGGUUUUCUGUGCGAUUUAGAAGCCCUUUCCUCCGGAGCUUGUGGACUAUGCAACCAUCACAGUCGACCUCCAAACCACGGCCCGUUAUGGGGCAUUUUAACAGCUCAUUACUCCAUGAAUGCAGUUUAGUGUCAAAGUAGGCAUCCGGGGUAACUCAUGAUGUGUAGUUUGAGCCCUAUCAUUGGGCCAUUUUGUCACCAAUUUAUUUAUGUAAAUUCUCUAAUUCAGGUGAGCAAAAAAGCCCACUAGUGUUUGACAUAUGAUGCAUUCUGCAUGCUGAGUAGCACCCCACUGACAGAUUACUUACUUUGUGUUAUUUGAAAGGAUGUCUCCUGGAAUUACACUAUGUUGGGUUUCUUCUCUGUUUCUUUGAUGGAUUGUGUUUAAGCUGCCUGAGACAUAACGAUUUUAAAUAACCGUUACUAAAGUUAAAGCAUGGCUGAGAAUUUUACCAAUUUGGCUAUUUUGAUUUUAAAGGGACACUAUAGGCAUGAAAACAACUGUAGUUUAAUGAAGCGGUUUUGGUGUAUAGAUCAUGCCCCUGUAGUCUUACUGCUCAAUUCUCUGUAAAUCACUUUGUUUAUAUCGCCCUAGUCAUGCCUCCUGUGGCUGUGACUGACACAGCAAACAUAAAAAAAGUUUUAAUUUUCAAUCCGAAGUUAAAUGGUUUCUCCAUCCCUUUAUUAUAGUUAAAAGAAUGAUGCCCUGUUGGUGCUACUGUAAAUGCCUUUCUAUAUGAAAAGGCUUCCUGGCGCUGAUCGGCACACCUCUGUCUGACAUCAUGGGAGCCGCGCUGAGGUCCAAUCAAAGACUUCCCAUAGAAAAUGGACAAUUUUACUAGCUCGGAGCUCAUGCACGCACACUGAGCCGGCAAGGGCAUGGGGGUGUGGGACAGAGGGAGGAAAAGGAGUAGGACGGAGGGCAGUUAAUUAAAUAAAAUUAACUAAAUAACGAAGGGGAUUUGGGGGUGGGGGGGAAAGAAGAGCUCUAUAGAGAAGCAGUUAUGUAUGUUGCCAAUGUGCACUGUGUACUGAUGACAGACGUAAUUUAUGCACAGAAUUGACAAGUCGCGCUUGUCGGGUGGAACAACUUGCCCCCAGCACACAAUUAAAAAAACAUCUCUGUGCAUACUUCAAAAAGCAGAAGUGGUCAUGAUGGGUGGAGUAACCCUUUAACUUGUUUUAGUAGUUUUCAUCUCCUGCUCUGUAAAUCAAACACAGGAGGCUCCUGCAGGCUACUAGCAGAACAGGAGAUAAGAAAGUCUAUAUUAAACAGACUGUGCCAAAACUAAAGAUCUUUGUUACAGGAAGUGUUUAGGAAGGUUGUGUAAGUCACAUGCAGGCAUGUGACUAACUCCUAGCCACCCUCCUAAGCUCAAAAGGUAGGAAACAGGAGGGUGGCCUAAAAUAUUUAUUUUUGUGUGUGCAUCUAUAAUAGUGUGUUCAUCUGUCAUGUGUUGAGUUCUGUAUAUGCUUUGUGUAUGUGUGUAUGUAUCUAUUUAAGUCUAUCAAAAUAAAAAAGUUUUUGUGAGUGUGUGAGAGAACGGGUGUGUCAGUGAAUGUGUAUGUUUAGGUCCCCAACCCUGCUCUCGUCCCCCCUCCCCACUUGCCUUUUUUCCCAAAGCUGUGCCGUUCUCGCCUUGACUGGCCCGCCUCCAUACCUGAGAUUAUCAGCCUUGUCAAACACUGGCCAAAGUUAGUGUUAAUAAUUGUGUGUGAAAAAUGCAGAAAACUAAUUUGAACGCCAGUUUUUGCCAGUGUUUGUGACUAAGUGGCUACUAAAAAAGACUGGACAUACCCCAUUUGCAAUACCUUAGGUUGUCUACUAUUGCAAAUGGUAUGCCAUCACGGGGGUGAUUUUUAUUCCUGGACUACCAUACGGUCUCAAGGGCAAUGUAACCAAUCUGGUGAAUUUCAAUGUGAAAAAAAUGAAACACAAACCUUAUAUUUACUCUGCCCUACCUGUCCCCAGAUUGAAGAGCCUGAAGCCCAGCAGGCUCCCACAGCAGAAGCGAUGCCUACAGAGCAGCACUGGCCUCUGCCCUACCGGUCCAUUUGUUCUGGGACCUGACCUACUCAGCUGCAAUGCUGGCUACGGGGCAGAGCGCCGCUGGCCUCUGCCCACCAAGUACCCACAACUCCAUGCCUGAGAGUACAAGAGAGACCUGGGGUGACGGAUGCCCACUCAGCAGCCUUGGACAUAUUGGACAGAGUCGGGCUCCGGAGGUCACCAGGUCAGCUACUUGUGGUUGGGUGGGCUGCCCGACUAACUCACUUACCUGGUUAGUCUUCGCUUGGGGGGGGGGAGAAUUGCCUGCCAGCCUCCUGCCUCAGGACUAUAGGCCCUGCAAUAUACCUUGCCCAGUGCACUUUAAAAGGCUUUGUCCAUGGGAUUUAUAUACGUUUGUACUCCAGAAAGAGAGACCGACUGUAAGCCCUGAUCCCUGUUACUGUUUUGGGCAUGGACCAUACGUGAAGUCGGUCAAAUUAUGACUUCCAGGAAAUUCCUGAACCGAUCUGGGUGAUUUUUGGAUAUGUUGGUCACCCACAUCAGGGAUAUCAGGGAAUGUACCUUUUGUAGGGGGUUUGUGUGUUUAACGGUGUUUGGGGUUUUUUGUAAAAAUGUAUGUUUUCUGUGCCUGGAGAUAAUUGAGUUUAAUACAGUGCUUGACUCAAUUAUCUCUUGGGCACAGAGGAGGGAUUAUCCUGUUUUGUGUGGGAGUAUUCUGGACCUGAGAGCCAAUGUAAAUACAGUAUGUACUUUGUUAUAGUCUAUUCUCAGGUCCAGUGGGGAAUACCCCUGGAAUAUGUUAAUGUAAACCCCUUGCAUUUAAGGCCAAUUGUGGCUACCAAUAAACCAGUUCCUGCUUACCCUCAACAUAGUCUCAUCUCAUGUGUGGAGGGAACGGCUGUAUCACUCUGGGGAUUGCUAUAUCACUAUACUCCCCUGGGAUUAUAAUCACUUUUAAGAGCACUCUUUUAAGAGCAUAUUGCUACACUCUCUUGGAGGAGAGGUCUACCCACUGGAAGCUGGAUCCUGGUCUUGGGUCCAGGGUGGGUGUAGGACAGCAAGACCCCGUGCCAAGCUGUAAUGCUGGAAGUGGGAACUACAGUGCUGAUGGUGUCUGGUGGAGUGCUUGGAGUACUCGGUGAGCACUAGGAAGCAUCGAUUGGUGGAGGCACCUGCCAAGAAUGGGGUACAUUGACGUUGUGGCAGGCUUAUGCAAUAUAUGAUCAUAUAAUCUAACUAAACCCCAUUAUUUUUUUGCCUAGGUGAGUUUUUUUUUUUUUUUAAAUAAAACUAUUACAAUCUGUGAGAUUUGAAAUCAUUGUUUAGUGAGUAAGCGAGUGGGCUGUAUUGUGUAUUUUGAAUGUUUGUGUAUAUAAAUGUGUGUGUGUGUGU